RNAcentral lists this ribosomal RNA (137 nucleotides) under uncultured bacterium. Its description in RNAcentral is "partial 16S ribosomal RNA". It matches the Rfam family "Bacterial small subunit ribosomal RNA", at positions 355 to 509 of the family's 1533-position model. The record is from RNAcentral.
UGGGGAAUAUUGGACAAUGGGCGCAAGCCUGAUCCAGCCAUGUCGCGUGAGUGAUGAAGGUCUUAGGAUUGUAAAGCUCUUUCACCGGAGAAGAUAAUGACGGUAUCCGGAGAAGAAGCCCCGGCUAACUUCGUGCC